ACAGUGGUGACUCUUCCACAGGAAAAGGAAAAUGAAUCCCUGAAGGCACACGUGCGCCAGAGCCUGCUGCCACUCUCCUUCCACUGCCAUGAUGAGAACCAGCGAGUGGCAGAGGCUUCUCAGGAAACGCUGCUUUGUGCGGCCGAGUUCCUGAAGAGGAGGGAUCUU
This is a non-coding RNA of Taeniopygia guttata (zebra finch), 168 nucleotides long. The record is from RefSeq and is a predicted model, not a curated record. Lineage: Eukaryota; Metazoa; Chordata; Aves; Passeriformes; Estrildidae.